AUGGCUGAGUAUAAAUUUGCUCUGCAAACCAUUGAUCGGGUAGCUUUCAGCGAAAGUGUACUCAAAAGUCAACAGACAGUUGCAAACUCGCCAACAUUCUGGAAUGAGACCCUCCACAUCAAGGAGAUCAAUCUGUCUGGAAACCACCAGUGAUUCAAGAACUGUGCUCAGUUCCUGUGUGGAUCAUACUUAGGUUAGGAUCCAGGUUUAUGAGUAGCAGUUGGAGAAAAUGAAGAACAUAGUUCUCUUUGGCCAGGUGAUGAUUGGCAAUUUGAAUGAGAAAUUGUCCAUUUCCAGAAACCAAAUGAGACAAGGAGUAUCACCAUACUGGCCGCACCAGCCCAUCAAGAACCCGUGA
This 358-nucleotide long non-coding RNA is filed under the name Mus musculus (house mouse). RNAcentral describes it as "long non-coding RNA chr4:65011229-65011587". Lineage: Eukaryota; Metazoa; Chordata; Mammalia; Rodentia; Muridae. The record is from RNAcentral.